RNAcentral lists this transfer RNA (60 nucleotides) under Hydrellia tritici. Its description in RNAcentral is "tRNA-Pro". The record is from RNAcentral. Lineage: Eukaryota; Metazoa; Arthropoda; Insecta; Diptera; Ephydridae.
CAAGAGAAAAGAGACUCUUUUUCACUAAUCUCCAAAAUUAGUAUUUUAAUUAAACUACCU